This 465-nucleotide ribosomal RNA is filed under the name uncultured bacterium. Its description in RNAcentral is "bacterial SSU rRNA". It matches the Rfam family "Bacterial small subunit ribosomal RNA", at positions 338 to 795 of the family's 1533-position model. The record is from RNAcentral.
CCUACGGGUCGCAGCAGCGGGGAAUAUUGCACAAUGGGCGCAAGCCUGAUGCAGCCAUGCCGCGUGUGUGAAGAAGGCCUUCGGGUUGUAAAGUACUUUCAGCGGGGAGGAAGGCGAUAAGGUUAAUAACCUUGUCGAUUGACGCUACCCGCAGAAGAAGCACCGGCUAACUCCGUGCCAGCAGCCGCGGUAAUACGGAGGGUGCAAGCGUUAAUCGGAAUUACUGGGCGUAAGGCGCACGCAGGCGGUCUGUCAAGUCGGAUGUGAAAUCCCCGGGCUUAACCUGGGAACUGCAUUCGAAACUGGCAGGCUAGAGUCUUGUAGAGGGGGGUAGAAUUCCAGGUGUAGCGGUGAAAUGCGUAGAGAUCUGGAGGAAUACCGGUGGCGAAGGCGGCCCCCUGGACAAAGACUGACGCUCAGGUGCGAAAGCGUGGGGAGCAAACAGGAUUAGAUACCCCUGUAGUC